AUUGAACGCUGGCGGCAGGCCUAACACAUGAAGUCGAACGAGUGGCGGACGGGUGAGUAAUGUCUGGGAAACUGCCCGAUGGAGGGGGAUAACUACUGGAAACGGUAGCUAAUACCGCAUACCAUCGGAUGUGCCCAGAUGGGAUUGGCUAGUAGGUGGGGUAAUGGCUCACCUAGGCGACGAUCCCUAGCUGGUCUGAGAGGAGAACCAGCCACACUGGAACGGAGACACGGUCCAGACUCCUACGGGAGGAAGAAGUGGGGAAUAUUGCACAAUGGGCGCAAGCCUGAUGCAGCCAUGCCGCGUGUAUGAAGAAGGCCUUCGGGUUGUAAAGUACUUUCAGCGGGGAGGCGUUACCCGCAGAAGAAGCACCGGCUAACUCCGUGCCAGCAGCCGCGGUGAUUC
Molecule: ribosomal RNA, 405 nt
Filed under: uncultured bacterium
Lineage: Bacteria
Description: partial 16S ribosomal RNA
Rfam family: Bacterial small subunit ribosomal RNA
Source: RNAcentral